This 282-nucleotide ribosomal RNA is filed under the name uncultured soil bacterium. Its description in RNAcentral is "partial 16S ribosomal RNA". It matches the Rfam family "Bacterial small subunit ribosomal RNA", at positions 26 to 285 of the family's 1533-position model. The record is from RNAcentral.
AGAAUCAACGCUGGCGGCGUGCCUAACACAUGCAAGUCGAACGCGGUUACUUCUGCUUCGCAAGAAGCAGUUGUAACUGAGUGGCGAACGGGUGAGUAACACGUGGGUGACCUGCCUUCGAGUGGGGGAUAACAUCCCGAAAGGGGUGCUAAUACCGCAUGAGAUCCUGCCUUUGAAGAGGUGGAGAUUAAAGCUGGGGAUCGUAAGACCUGGCGCUUGAAGAGGGGCCCGCGUCCGAUUAGCUAGUUGGUGGGUAACGGCCUACCAAGGCUUCGAUCGGUA